This 514-nucleotide unclassified non-coding RNA is filed under the name uncultured Glomus. Its description in RNAcentral is "SSU rRNA". It matches the Rfam family "Eukaryotic small subunit ribosomal RNA", at positions 569 to 1085 of the family's 1831-position model. The record is from RNAcentral. Lineage: Eukaryota; Fungi; Glomeromycota; Glomeromycetes; Glomerales; Glomeraceae.
AGCAGCCGCGGUAAUUCCAGCUCCAAUAGCGUAUAUUAAAGUUGCUGCAGUUAAAAAGCUCGUAGUUGAAUUUCGGGAUCAAUAUGUCGGUCGUGCCUCGGUACGUACUGGCUUAUUGGUUUCUCCUUUCUGAAGAACCAUGAUGUCAUUUAUUUGGUGUCGUGGGAAAUCAGGACUGUUACUUUGAAAAAAUUAGAGUGUUUAAAGCAGGCUCACGCUUGAAUACAUUAGCAUGGAAUAAUGAAAUAGGACGUUUGAUUCUAUUUUGUUGGUUUCUAGGAUCGACGUAAUGAUUAAUAGGGAUAGUUGGGGGCAUUAGUAUUCAAUUGUCAGAGGUGAAAUUCUUGGAUUUAUUGAAGACUAACUACUGCGAAAGCAUUUGCCAAGGAUGUUUUCAUUAAUCAAGAACGAAAGUUAGGGGAUCGAAGACGAUCAGAUACCGUCGUAGUCUUAACCAUAAACUAUGCCGACUAGGGAUCGGAUGAUGUUAAUUUUUUAAUGUACUCAUUCGGCG